GGACCCAUAGCUCAGUUGGUCAGAGCACUCGGCUCAUAACCGAGUAGUCCUAGGUUCGAAUCCUAGUGGGUCCACCA
Molecule: transfer RNA, 77 nt
Filed under: Selenihalanaerobacter shriftii
Lineage: Bacteria; Bacillati; Bacillota; Clostridia; Halanaerobiales; Halobacteroidaceae
Also listed under: 3 other names
Description: tRNA_Met_CAT
Rfam family: tRNA
About the family: Transfer RNA (tRNA) molecules are approximately 80 nucleotides in length.
Source: RNAcentral